UUUUUUUCUUAAUUUUAAUCAUGCAUACUUCUAAAAAUCACUAAUCAAAACAUUAUUUUGGUCAAAUAAAGGCUAUCACACAAGAGCUAAAUCUAAUAACCUAUAUAAGUACAUAAAUCAUAGUUAUCAAACACCUUGAAAUAGGGCUUGGGCAAAACCAAUUCAAACCGAUACCCAACCCAAAUCGGUCAGUUUUGGUUGAUUUUUAAGUUCAAUUGGGUUGAGGUUUUGUUAGAAAAUCAAAUUUGAGGUCAUGUUGGGUUGAAUAUCGGGUUAUGAAUUAAAAUUCAAUCCAACUCAACUUUAUCCGACGAAUUAAAAAAAUUAAUAUUUAAAAUAGAAAGAUCUAAAUAGACACAAUAGUGAAGAUAUGAGAGGGACUUACACACUAGAUUUUAAUCUAAUACAAAGUUAACAAUUCAUUUCAAUCACAUAUUUUAUGGAUCUCACAAAUUUUCAAUAUUAUAUUUCAUCAACUUCUAUCAAAAUCUAGUAAAAAAUUGAUUUUAAUCCCCGUCCAACAAGGGCUUAAAAUGUGCAAAC
Molecule: long non-coding RNA, 543 nt
Filed under: Olea europaea subsp. europaea
Lineage: Eukaryota; Viridiplantae; Streptophyta; Magnoliopsida; Lamiales; Oleaceae
Source: RNAcentral